This 253-nucleotide ribosomal RNA is filed under the name uncultured bacterium. Its description in RNAcentral is "partial 16S ribosomal RNA". It matches the Rfam family "Bacterial small subunit ribosomal RNA", at positions 524 to 776 of the family's 1533-position model. The record is from RNAcentral.
UACGAAGGUGGCUAGCGUUACUCGGAAUUACUGGGCGUAAAGCGCGUGUAGGCGGUGCGAUCAGUCAGGUGUGAAAUCCCCAGGCUUAACCUGGGAACUGCACUUGAAACUGUCGUGCUAGAAUCUGGUAGAGGAGUGUGGAAUUCCUAGUGUAGUAGUGAAAUACGUAGAUAUUAGGAGGAACACCAGUGGCGAAGGCGGCACUCUGGGCCAGUAUUGACGCUAAGACGCGAAAGCGUGGGGAUCAAACAGG